AUACCUAAGUUAGGGGGGAUAGGUCAUUUUGGAGCUAUGUUAGCCUUAUUAUGUCGUUUUGAGGAUAAUUAGCUAANNAUAUGUCAUUUUGGAGCAAAUUAUGUCAUUUCGGGGAUACUUAGCUAAGUAAAUGUCAUUUUUAUAAAAUAGACAAUUUUGGAGCUAACUAAGCUAAUUAUGUCAUUUAGGUGGAAGCCUAGCUAACUAUAGGUCACUUCGGAUGUAAGUUGGGUAAAAUAGGUCAUUCCGGAGAAAAUUAUGCUUAUUAAGCCAUUUUGUAUCUAGCUAAGCUAAUUAUAGGACAUUUA
RNAcentral lists this long non-coding RNA (308 nucleotides) under Hordeum vulgare. Its description in RNAcentral is "long non-coding RNA (HVUL_LNC000888)". Lineage: Eukaryota; Viridiplantae; Streptophyta; Magnoliopsida; Poales; Poaceae. The record is from RNAcentral.